AGUUCCUGUUCGGAUGGAACUUUUGGAGAGAGAGUAUUCAGCCUGGAGCGUGGUGUACACCUUCCCGCACCCCACCAUCCAAGAGUUUGUAGCUGCACUCGCACAAUUCCUGACUCCACUUUCCAAG
Molecule: long non-coding RNA, 127 nt
Organism: Amblyraja radiata (thorny skate)
Lineage: Eukaryota; Metazoa; Chordata; Chondrichthyes; Rajiformes; Rajidae
Exons: 3
Source: RefSeq, a predicted model, not a curated record